RNAcentral lists this ribosomal RNA (239 nucleotides) under uncultured Lactobacillus sp. RNAcentral describes it as "partial 16S ribosomal RNA". It matches the Rfam family "Bacterial small subunit ribosomal RNA", at positions 125 to 356 of the family's 1533-position model. The record is from RNAcentral. Lineage: Bacteria; Bacillati; Bacillota; Bacilli; Lactobacillales; Lactobacillaceae.
CCGUAGCCCAAGAGAUCGGGAUAACACCUGGAAACAGAUGCUAAUACCGGAUAACAACAGAUGAUGCCUAUCAACUGCUUAAAAGAUGGUUCUGCUAUCACUCUUGGAUGGACCUGCGGUGCAUUAGCUAGUUGGUAGGGUAACGGCCUACCAAGGCGAUGAUGCAUAGCCGAGUUGAGAGACUGAUCGGCCACAUUGGGACUGAGACACGGCCCAAACUCCUACGGGAGGCAGCAGCG